RNAcentral lists this long non-coding RNA (3085 nucleotides) under Marmota monax (woodchuck). Lineage: Eukaryota; Metazoa; Chordata; Mammalia; Rodentia; Sciuridae. The record is from RNAcentral.
GUCCUAGCUCAGUGUAAAGCACUCACCUAGCACAUGUGAGACCCUGGGUUCGAUCCUUAGCACGACAUAAAAAUAAAUAAAAUGAAAGGUAUUGUGUCUGUCUACAACUUAAAAGUAAAAAUAGCUGUACCAUAUUGUUUUUCUCAAAAAUUACCCCAACAGUAUUCAAAUUUCCCCAUAUUCUUCCAGAACCUUGCCAUUACCCCAUCAAGAUGUAUCCCUUCCCUUUACCCUAAGCAGACCUUUCUGACAACCCUAAAAAGCAAAAUAUGUGUUAGAAAUGGGUUACAUUAAUUCCAUGUGGAAAUCUUCAGAAUUCAGAAGUACUGUUAAGUGGGACUGGGGUUGUGGCUCAGUGGUGGAGUGCUUGCCUAGCAUGCAUGGGGCACUGGGUUCAAUCUUCAGCGCCACUUAAAAAUAAAGGUUAUUGUAUCCACCUACCACUAAAAAAACAAACCAAAACAAAUAUUUUUUUUUAAAUACUGUCAAGUAAGGAGAUGACUGUUGACAAUGCCUUUUUAUCUCCUGACUAUUAAAAAAAAAAAAAAAAUUCUGCGGGUGAACUGUGGGAAAAGAAAGCUAAGAGCAUGAACAUACAUGAAAGCAAAAAUACCUUUAUAGACAACAAGCAAAUGGUAAGACUGCUUCAUCUAAGAAUUAGAAUAUUUGAAUCUUGUAUAAAAGCAUGAUUGGUUUUGGUUGAUCUGCUGUAUAGCAGGCUUUCGGUAUUUCUACCAUUUUCAAUCAUGAUAAAGAGCCUGAUAAAUGUAUCUCAAUCCCUGUCUCAGCAUAAUUUGCAUGAUUUCAAGGAGGAAGAAAAGUUCCAUGUUUACUUGUGUCAUACUAACAUUACAUCUUCAUGUUAAAAGAACAUGUUUUAGAGGUAAGUUUGUAAUUUUAUACUUUCUGGAACAUAUUUUAAAGAAACAUUUUCAUUAACCUUUGUCAGUACAUUGUUAGUGUCCAUAAUUGUUUUAUGUAGGCUCGUAUCCUGCUAUUGACAGUCAUUUCUCUGCUUUUUCAUUCCUACUAGGUAUUUAGGUUUAAAUUAACAAAUACUUUGUGGUUUUUACUAGAAGACACAUGGUAGUUAUCAGUAUACCUCAUAUAAGACCUAAACUUACUAGUGACUUUUUCUUUCUUUCCCCCAUAGUUUUUAUUGAUGUAUUAUCCUUGCACACAAUGGUGGAUUUGUUGUUACAUGUUUGUACAUGGCACACAGUGUAACUUGGCCAAUAUCAUUCCACAUUUUUGUUCUUAAUUUCUAAAAUUUUUCACCUAAGACUAUUAUAAGAUUGAUUAUUUUAUAUAUAUUUUAUAUAUAUUCACUAAUGUAUAUCAGUUUUUCAUCUCUGUGACCAAAAUACUCAAAAAGAACAACUUAGAAGAGGGAAAGUUUAUUUUAACUGACAGUUACUGAGAUUCCAUCCAUAGUGGGCUGGCUCCAUUACUCUGGGCCCAAGAUGAGGCAGAACAUCAUGGUGGAAGGGUAUGAUGGAGGAGUGCUGCAUUCAUGCUAUCUGGAAAGCAAAAAGGGGAAGGGGACACAGGGAAGAUGAACCCUUCUAGGGCAUGCCCCCAGUGAGCCAGGUCCUCCAGCCAUGCUCCACGUGCAUGCAAUUAACCACCCAAUUAAUUCAUUCAAACUAGUAUGGACUGAUUAGGUUACAGCUCUCAGUCCAAUAUUUUACCUAUGAAUAUUCUUGAAUUAACACAGGACACCUCAUAUCCAAAUCCUAACAAUGCUAGUUAGUAAACACACUGCCAGUUAAACUUAUGCUAUUGAUUUUAAGAUACAUGUCAAUUUCUGAGAUAAUAAAAUUGUCUUUAGUUUGAUGAGGUACCAUAUACACUGAAAAGAUAGGAGAGAAUGUCUCCAAAAUAUAGUUUAGGACAUAGUGUGUCCAACUAGAAAAUCAGCUUUACUUAUCAAAUACAUAUAUUCUGUUCUCUUAAAUUAUCAGUCAUAAAAUCUCUAGUGUGUAUAGUUAUCUCUAGGAAAUUUGUGUAAUUUCCUAUGUUAUGAUGGUGCUUUUAUUCUGUUCUAGUUUUAAGUACCACAAGCAAGAUGACUCUUAAAGACUUAUAGAUAAGUCAUGGUAAAGCCUUUUGGAUAACUUCCCAAGAAAUUGAGCAUUACUUGAAAAAAUGGGGUCUUCAAUGAGAGUGGUUUUCUUAUUUUCCCUCUUGUAUAGGUAUUUGAACCCAGCGCCUUGUGCAUGCUAACCAAAUGCUCUACCACUGAGCUACAUCCCCAACUAUUUUUAAUUUAAUUCGAGACUGGGUUACAUUAGUUACUGAGGCUAGCCUUGAGUUUAAAAUUCUGCCUCCACGUUUAUGUGCUACUACACACCCAACAGGAGUAGUUUUCAGUUCUUUGCUUUUAACAAAAUGGAAAAAAAGCUUGAAUUGUUAAUAACAGACUAUAAAAAUAAUUUGGUAAUAGAUCAAUUUAUGACUCAGCAUACAACUUUGAAGGAGUACAAGAAUUUAGUGGCAUCAUUAUGACAAGAUAUUUUUCUAUCCCUUUUUUUUUUUAAAUUUUAGUUGUAGUUGGACACCAUACCUUUAUUUUAUUUAUUUAUUUAAUUUUAUGUGGUGCUGAGGAUCAAACGCAGCGCCUCACAGUUACUAGGCAAGUGCUGUAUCACUGAGCCACAACCACAGCACCUAUCCCUUUUUAAAUCUGUGAAUGAGAUUUUAAAAAUAGUAACACAAUCACUAUUAACUCAUUCUAGCAUUAUUAACACUCAUUAUUAUUUUUAUCAAUUGAAUAGUAGUUGUUGAAGACAACAGUCUUCAACACUUGGAGAUUUGUAGUCAUUGGAAUCAUUAUUUUAAAUUUUGAAAAAAAUUAUUUCAAUAAAUAUGAUUUUAAUAUACUUUGAAAAAUGUGAUUAAGGUAGCAGUAAAAGACAUUUAAGCACUAAACUAUAUUGAGAUUAAAUUACAUGGGGCAGUAUAAUGAAAAUGCAAAUUCAAAAUAAUACAAAUAUUCUAUUAAAUAAAACCUUGUUCAUGUGUUAAGGAGUGAUGGUAUAUAUUCAAUUGUUAGAAUUCAUUAAGUACUUUAAACCAAUGCAAU